This 466-nucleotide ribosomal RNA is filed under the name uncultured bacterium. RNAcentral describes it as "partial 16S ribosomal RNA". It matches the Rfam family "Bacterial small subunit ribosomal RNA", at positions 28 to 506 of the family's 1533-position model. The record is from RNAcentral.
GACGAACGCUGGCGGCGUGCUUAACACAUGCAAGUCAGGGGGCGGGGUAACCCGUCACCGGCGAACGGGUGCGGAACACGUGAGCGACCUGCCCUGGUGUGGGGGAUAGCCAGCCCAACGGCCGGGUAAUACCGCAUACGGCGCCCGCUUGGAAGCGGGAGGCGAAACUCGCAAGAGGCGCUAGGAGGGGCUCGCGGCCUAUCAGCUAGUUGGUGCGGUAACGGCGCACCAAGGCGACGACGGGUAGCUGGUCUGAGAGGAUGGCCAGCCACAUUGGGACGGAGGGACGGCCCAGACUCCUACGGGAGGGAGCAGGGGGGAAUUUGGGGCAAGGGGGGAAAGCCUGACGCCGCGAGGCCGGGGGGAGGAUGGGGCCCCGCGGGGUGUAAACUCCUGUUGCCCGGGACGAAGGCCCCGCAGCGGCGGGGUUGGCGGUACCGGGGGAGGAAGCACCGGCUAACUCUGU